Trifolium pratense (red clover) is the source of this 558-nucleotide long non-coding RNA. RefSeq lists it as uncharacterized. The record is from RefSeq and is a predicted model, not a curated record. NCBI's taxonomy places the organism in Eukaryota, Viridiplantae, Streptophyta, Magnoliopsida, Fabales, Fabaceae. The transcript has 2 exons.
CGACCAAUGUGCGUUGCAAAGUGGUAUUGAAGUACUAUAUUCAAACAUUGGCUAAGGGGUCACAUCCAACUCAUGGUGACUUUUCAUGUUGAUUGAGGGUUAAAAUACUCUUCUAAGUUCUUCAACUUCAAAUAUCAACACCUAUCCCCAUUGGAAUAUCACAUAACAAGUUACAAUAUAUUUAGGAGACAAAAGUAAAAGACCAGUAAUGGAGAUGAAAAUAUUUGUUGGCUUUUGCUUCUUCUUCAUUAUUCUCGUAAUUGCUGAAGAAGCAGUGGUGCAAAAUGAGGCUUGUGAAAAACAGAGUGAAUGGUUCACCGGUGAUCAAUGCGUUGGUUUUAUAUUUAGCAGCCUCGUAUGUGACUAUUAUUGCAGGGACAAAGACAAUUUACUCCAUGGUACCUGCAUAAAUAAGAAAUGCAUUUGUUCAUGCUGAACGUUUCCAUUGUGAGAUACUACUACUAGUAUACUGUAUACUAUAAUUUUGUUCAUGUAUAGCUAGUUUAAUUUCCAUGAAAUAAUUCAUGAAAUGAUGAAUAAGUCAUUAUUAUUACACUU